Molecule: long non-coding RNA, 2002 nt
Organism: Equus asinus (donkey)
Lineage: Eukaryota; Metazoa; Chordata; Mammalia; Perissodactyla; Equidae
Source: Ensembl
AGCCCUAGUAUGGUACCUGGCCUGCAGCAAGGGCUCAAUGAGCAACAGUCACCCUGGUUACCAUUUGCUGAAUCAGGGCAGGGUCAGAGUGCAGGGGAAGGGUCCAAGGUUCACCAACCGUUAGUGGCCAAACCGGUCGGUGUGACCAGACCAAGCGCAACCUUCAAAAACGCUCUUCUUGCCGUCUUCAGCAAGACAAACAGGGAAAGGCUCCUGUGACUGCCAAAACUUUGCCUGUCAUAAAAACAUCCUCCAUGUCACAGUGACAACCACGAGAACAGAACGGGAGGCAGCAAGGUCUAGAGGAUGAGAUGCAGAACCGGGAAUCAGACCUGUUUCCCAACAAGACCGAGAACUACUUUUAAUUGAGAUGUACAAAGGAGGUGCAGGAGGACAAUAAUUUGUGACUCAAAAAUAACACGCAAGUCAAGAGUUGUGAAUGGAAUUUAGGCAGUGCCUUCAAAUCCUGCAGCCUUCAAUCACUUUAUAAGGAUAGCACAGGCCACCACUGGCUUGGAUAUUGUCACAUUACUCAUCUCUCAUCUGCCUAAUCCACUUUACCACCUACAGUCCAAACAACCAGGAGAGAGAAGUCCGUGUGGACUUUCCCUCAUCAAAAGUGAACCAGGAAACAGUUUCAAAGCAGCAAACUUCAGGAGAAAAAGCUUCCAUCAAAUGAGCUCCAGCCUGACCACCUCUCUCCAGCACCGUGAACAGCAUGGAAGCCCAGAUCAAAGAACAUCUUAUAUGUGGCCUUUCCUUGUCCCACUAAAUGUCACUGAGGCAGAGCUAGUGGCACCCUAUACCCAGGCUUUCCUUACCAGAUCCUUGCAUCUCAGAAGCUCAGAUGCAAACGAGAUUCAGAAAACCAAAUGAACUGAGAAGAGGAAUAAAGGAGAAAGACUGGAUUAGACCAUGGCCAACAUCUUUGGGCAAAUGCACACAUCCUCCUGUUGCCAUUUUAGCAAGACCAUGGACCUCUCAGAACACUAAUUCCUCUCUGGAUCACUGCUUCCCAGAGCAAUAACAUAAAUCCAUCUAACAUUUAAGCAAAAGGAUAUUGAGCUUGGCAGAUCAGCACAGUGUAUGUUUGCCUCCUGGAGUGAUAAGGUCACCCAUUCAAGACCCCCUAGGAAAGGAGGGUGGAAGUGCAGAGAGCCACACAUGAAGCAGCCAGACCUAGUACAGAGGGUGCAGAUACCCUUUGAAGCAACAAAGAAUAACUGAGGAGAAGCAAGCCAGAGCCUUCGAGGAAACACAGGCUUGACGUGUCCAGCUGUCAUUAAGAAAUGCAAAAAGUUAACAGGUCACAACGCAUCCUGGUAUUGUAGGGACAUAAGUAGGGGCAUUCUUAGGUCUGGAACCCCCAAAGAAGCAGGUUUGCAGCCCUAAAACAUUGAUGUUCAACUGCUCAAAUCUGACCAGGUGAUUCUUGCAUGUUAGUUCACAGCCUUCUGAAUCUAACUGCACCCAACUUUUCACACAAAACACCCAUGUUUCCAUCAUUACAUAUAUCCUGGAAGCUGAUCAAAACCUCUCAAAGAAUACAUGAGGAAACAGACAUCUACUCACCUUGUUGACAGGAGCACAAAUUGGUCCCAUCUUUUUGGAGGGCAACUGAGCAAUAUUUAGCAAAAUGAACAUAAUAUUUCAUUUGGAAAUUUCACUUUUAGGGAUUUAUCCAAAAGACACACUCAUACAUGGGCAAAUUUAUGCUCACAAGUUUAUUUAUUGCAGUGUUUUUUGUAAUAGCCAAAGACCAAGAACAUUUGAAAUGUACAUCAAAAAGGAAUCUGGUUAAAAACGCCAGUGGAAUAUGAAAUAGCCAUUAAAAAGAAUGAGGCAAGUCUACAGGUGCUGUGAUGAGACAGAUGAUCUCCAAAAUGGAACGUUAAAUAAUAAAAAGAUCAAAGUCCAAGACAGUAUCAUAGCAUGCUUUACUUAUGUAAAAACAACCAAAAAUGGGAUAUAUGCAUGUUCAUAUAUACAUAUAUGUACAAAC